RNAcentral lists this long non-coding RNA (1192 nucleotides) under Monodelphis domestica (gray short-tailed opossum). RNAcentral's name for it is "lncRNA (ENSMODG00000031428.2)". The record is from RNAcentral. Lineage: Eukaryota; Metazoa; Chordata; Mammalia; Didelphimorphia; Didelphidae.
CUAACUAAUAACAUACUACAUCUUCAUUUUGUUAGUUGACAUUAUACCUCAAUGAAUUUCCAAAAAUUAAUUCAAACUUCAUUGUCGAUGGUAUUAACCGAAGGGUAGGUGAAAUUGUAAGAGAAACUGACCUGUCAUUCAAAAUGGUAUAUAUUUAGCAAGGAACCCUAGAUUAACAUUGGGAGCUCUUAGGCUUUUUCCUUAUUAAUUAUCACAGUGUGUAAUUAAAAUAUUCUCUAAAUUCAAAACUAAAAAAUUCUACAACUGAAGGAUGUGAUUAAAAAUAUGGUCCAUAUUAUCAUGUGUAUUUUUAGCUAAUUAAUCUGUAGUGCAAAUAUUUAGUAGGGGUUGGGGGGAAUAGAAAGGUAAUAUUGCUAAAAGACCCUUUUUGUGUAUAUUAAGGAAGUUUAUUUUCAUAACCCUGAAUAUUUUGAAUGAAUUUUUUUUGCAUUCAUUAGGAAUAUAUGAGCAGAGAUUCAGUCCUGGGAUUUGACCGUCUGAAGGGCAGUGAAGACAAAUAUGCUCCCAGAUUGGCAGAACUGAACAUUGAAAGCCAAAUGGGAAAAGACAAGUUAUGCAAAUUAUUUAGGAGCCUCAGAAAGGACUUUAAUGGAUUUGCAAAUGGAGCACAUCAAGAAGAUAUUAAAGCAACUUUUAAUAUAAAUGUUAGAAGGAGGAAAUCACUAAAUCUUGAAACCUGGAAAACAUUGUUAAAGGUUGCACUGUCAAAUGCAGACAUCAAAGAGGCUACAUGAUUCCAGGGUCAAAGUAAGCUUUAACCUGUUGAAGCCAGUAUUAUGAUUUCUCUGGAAACUCCUCAUUGUGGGAUCUGGAACCUGUUGUUCUGAUCAGAUGACCAGCCUCCUCAGUUUUCACUAUGGACUUCUGUUUAUUUUGUAAAACAAGUUAUGUCAAGAGGCUCUGCCUUCUAUGAGACACCCUCUCACCUGAAGUGUAUUGAAACCCUGCCCUUACUGGCCCUCCCAGGCACUCUAGUACUUUGGUGCUGUCUUAAGUUCUGACUUGCAAUUCUUUUGCCUUGAUUAAAGACCUUUGUUUUGAAAUUUUGGUAUUUCUCUUUAUGGAAGGCUGACAAUACAAAGUAAUACAAAGCAAUUUCAAGCCAAAAAAGGUGCCAAAUUGGUGGGGUUGCAGAAUCAAUAAAGAUUUUAUACCACAUUUUUUAAGGCCA